UAGGGAAUCUUCGGCAAUGGACGGAAGUCUGACCGAGCAACGCCGCGUGAGUGAAGAAGGUUUUCGGAUCGUAAAGCUCUGUUGUAAGAGAAGAACGAGUGUGAGAGUGGAAAGUUCACACUGUGACGGUAUCUUACCAGAAAGGGACGGCUAACUACGUGCCAGCAGCCGCGGUAAUACGUAGGUCCCGAGCGUUGUCCGGAUUUAUUGGGCGUAAAGCGAGCGCAGGCGGUUAGAUAAGUCUGAAGUUAAAGGCUGUGGCUUAACCAUAGUAGGCUUUGGAAACUGUUUAACUUGAGUGCAAGAGGGGAGAGUGGAAUUCCAUGUGUAGCGGUGAAAUGCGUAGAUAUAUGGAGGAACACCGGUGGCGAAAGCGGCUCUCUGGCUUGUAACUGACGCUGAGGCUCGAAAGCGUGGGGAGCAAACAGGAUUAGAUACCCUGGUAGUCCACGCUGUAAACGAUGAGUGCUAGGUGUUAGACCCUUUCCGGGGUUUAGUGCCGUAGCUAACGCAUUAAGCAUUCCGCCUGGGGAGUACGACCGCAAGGUUG
This 550-nucleotide ribosomal RNA is filed under the name uncultured bacterium. RNAcentral's name for it is "bacterial SSU rRNA". It matches the Rfam family "Bacterial small subunit ribosomal RNA", at positions 355 to 896 of the family's 1533-position model. The record is from RNAcentral.